RNAcentral lists this ribosomal RNA (1561 nucleotides) under Acidobacteriota bacterium. RNAcentral's name for it is "partial 23S ribosomal RNA". The stretch from base 588 to 1561 matches the Rfam family "Eukaryotic large subunit ribosomal RNA", at positions 1 to 792 of the family's 3401-position model. The record is from RNAcentral. Lineage: Bacteria; Pseudomonadati; Acidobacteriota.
AACCUUAUGAAUCACUCUGUGCGGUGGAUCAUUCGGCUCGUGGGUCGAUGAAGAACGCAGCAAAAUGCGAGACGUAACGUGAAUUGCAGGACUUUGCGAACGUUAAUUCUUCGAACGCACAUUGCGGCUUUGGGUUGACUGAAGCCACGCCUGGUUGAGGGUCAGUUGAAAAAACCAUCACCGCUCAUGCGUGUAGCGGUGGAUUGCUCGGAUAACGCUCUCGUAGCGUUAGCGAGUAAAGUCGAGUCCGGAUGUGGCUUGAAGCGAGCGUGUGUGACGCUCCUGGCUUGGACCUAAGCGUGUUGUGAUGCCUGAUUGGCGGCAGUGGACAUGCGUUGGGGCUUCCUGUGCACAUGCACCGCAGUUGCAAAGGCGCAGGUUUCAAAGCUCGAGUCCACGUUUGAAAGCCGCGUCUCAAGCGUCCGGGGUCUAGUAGCAAAGCUGGGAUGUCUUAACACUGUCUCGUGGUAAAGCGAAAGCGUAGACACAUUCGCGUCGUUAUUAAUCAUCGUGCUUGUGUGUUGAAGGCUCGAUCGCGCAAGCGAUUCCUGCCGUAAUCAUGCACGAUGAGAACAAGAUCAUUCUUUUGACCUCAGCUCAGACGAGAUUACCCGCUGAACUUAAGCAUAUUACUAAGCGGAGGAAAAGAAACCAACGGGGAUUCCCAUAGUAACUGCGAGUGAAAGGGGAAAAGCCCAGCGCCGAAUCCCGCCGCUGGUGACGGUGGCGGGAACUGUGGCGUGAAGAUGGUGUCUAUCGGUGUGGCUUGCUCGCGUAAGUUCUCCUGAGUGAGGCUCCAUCCCAUGGAGGGUGCAAGGCCCGUGUCGUGAGCAGCCGUCGCCGAUGUGCGCCAUCAGAGAGUCGCCUUGUUUGCGAGUACAAGGUGAAGUCGGUGGUAAACUCCAUCGAAGGCUAAAUAUGACCACGAGUCCGAUAGCGAACAAGUACCGUGAGGGAAAAUUGAAAAGCACUUUGAAGAGAGAGCGAAACAGUGCGUGAAACCGCUCAGAGGCAAGCAGAUGGGGCCUCGAAGGCAAAGCCGCGAAUUCAGCCGGUGGUCCGUGCGCCGGGCCGGGGUUUGGAGAUUGCAAAACUCUGCCUCGGUUUAGGUGCGUGCGGCUGCUGGUGCACUUUUGCGGCUUGUACGCCACCGCCGUUAGGGAGCGUCCGUGGACCCUGCAUGUGGAGCCUGGCGGCCCUUACGGGUUUUUGCCGGUGUCUCACGGUGGGUGCUUUGCCACGUGUUCGCGCUUUAACCGGUCAUGUCAGCGUGUGCCAGCGUUUGCGCUGACCGUCUGUGCUCCGGUUGGGUCGCGUUGGGAUGACGAGCUUGCUCGGCUCUCUCGCGCUCGAUGGAAUCGCGGGCGGGUUUAGCGUGGCACAUUGCGGAUUCGGUGGCGAGUAGACGGCUGCCCAUCUAACCCGUCUUGAAACACGGACCAAGGAGUUCAACAUGCGCGCCAGUCGUUGGGACUAGAAGCCCGCUGGCAGAGUGAAAGCAAGUCACAGUGUUACGCUGUGUAUUGGCGAGAUCCCGUCACCCGCGGCGCAAGUCGCGGGG